AUGAACGCUGGCGGCGUGCCUAAUACAUGCAAGUCGAGCGAACGGACGAGAAGCUUGCUUCUCUGAUGUUAGCGGCGGCCGGGUGAGUAACACGUGGAUAACCUACCUAUAAGACUGGGAUAACUUCGGGAAACCGGAGCUAAUACCGGAUGAUAUUUUGAACCGCCUGGUUCAAAAGUGAAAGACGGUCUUGCUGUCACUUAUAGAUGGAUCCGCGCUGCAUUAGCUAGUUGGUAAGGUAACGGCUUACCAAGGCAACGAUGCAUAGCCGACCUGAGAGGGUGAUCGGCCACACUGGAACUGAGACACGGUCCAGACUCCUACGGGAGGCAGCAGUAGGGAAUCUUCCGCAAUGGGCGAAAGCCUGACGGAGCAACGCCGCGUGAGUGAUGAAGGUCUUCGGAUCGUAAAACUCUGUUAUUAGGGAAGAACAUAUGUGUAAGUAACUGUGCACAUCUUGACGGUACCUAAUCAGAAAGCCACGGCUAACUACGUG
RNAcentral lists this ribosomal RNA (496 nucleotides) under uncultured bacterium. RNAcentral's name for it is "partial 16S ribosomal RNA". It matches the Rfam family "Bacterial small subunit ribosomal RNA", at positions 29 to 507 of the family's 1533-position model. The record is from RNAcentral.